Molecule: ribosomal RNA, 391 nt
Filed under: uncultured bacterium
Lineage: Bacteria
Description: partial 16S ribosomal RNA
Rfam family: Bacterial small subunit ribosomal RNA
Source: RNAcentral
AUACGGAGGAUCCGAGCGUUAUCCGGAUUUAUUGGGUUUAAAGGGUGCGCAGGCGGCCAUUUAAGUCAGCGGUUAAAUCGUGGGGCUAACCCCAUUCUGCCGUUGAUACUGGGUGGCUUGAUUGCGGUCGAGGUUGGCGGAAUUCGUUGUGUAGCGGUGAAAUGCAUAGAUAUGACGAAGAACACCGAUUGCGUAGGCAGCUGACCAGACCGCAAAUGACGCUCAUGCACGAAAGUGCGGGGAUCGAACAGGAUUAGAUACCCUGGUAGUCCGCACAGUAAACGAUGAAUACUUGUUUUCGGCGAUAUAAUGUCGGAGGCAAAGCGAAAGCGAUAAGUAUUCCACCUGGGGAGUACGCCGGCAACGGUGAAACUCAAAGGAAUUGACGGGG